This 3061-nucleotide long non-coding RNA is filed under the name Carica papaya (papaya). RNAcentral's name for it is "long non-coding RNA (CPAP_LNC000707)". The record is from RNAcentral. Lineage: Eukaryota; Viridiplantae; Streptophyta; Magnoliopsida; Brassicales; Caricaceae.
UCAAAAGUAGACAUCUUAAAUAAGCUAAGCACACCCAGAAAUUAAAAGUACUACAUCUUUUGAAGAUUAUUAGAAGCAGACAUACUGAUUCUGUACUGCUGGAGAAUUUGAGAUCUUUGUCAAAUAUGAGUUUUCCACUUCAAUGCUUCUUUUGAGCGUUAAGUACCUAAUCUAAACUCAAAAGCAACAUAUAUAAUAGAUUCUUCACAUUGUUCGACACCAGAAUUUUGAAUAUAGAGAUCUUCUUGGAGAAAAAUCAAACGGAAAGAAAGAUAUAGAAAAGCCUAAUUGUUCGACACCAAAAUUCUGAAAAGCCCGUUUACUCUAAGACAAAAAAGUAAAAAUACGUUUGAAUGGUUUAACCAGUAAAGAUUUUUUGGUGUAAAAUAUUUGUUUCAAAAAAAGAAGCAUGGUGUAAAAUAAUUAUGGGGAGAUUUUAAUUAAUUACUUUUGGAAAAGGAAACCCCACAUUUUUAGUAACGUGAUAUAAUUUAAAUUUCAAAUUGUCAAAGUUUGAAUGGAAGUUUGACGGUACAAAGAAUGAAAGUUCAAGGAGUAUGAUAUAAAUUAAAAAGACUAGGGAUCCAUGAGCCAACGAGUAAGGCUUCUCAGAUUUUUAGGGAAAAAAUUUCCUAAACAUUAAAAGUUAACAAAUUUCUUUGAAAUAAAAAAUAACAAAUUAAGCUCCCAAUAACCUAUUCCAUCCGAAAAAAUAAUUUGGAAGCAUUUUCAAGCAGCUUCCUUUGCUCCUUUCACCCAAUAAGAAGAUAAAGAGGGGAAAGCACUAAAAGCUCCCUACUCCCAAGUCAUCUUCAUGUCAAAACAAAAAUUGGUACUUACAAGAUCUAGUUCGACAGAAGUAACUAGGAAAUUUAAGAGUAUGUAGAUUUAAUAAGCCACCAUUAGUUCUUAUUUGUAGACCAAAAUCUCCACGAUGCCCAGAUAUGGACCCGGCUCAAGAAUAGAAAGUUCUCUAUGAAGUACUAUUUUUUGGCUUUUUGAAUAGAAAUCACGUCUCAAUUCAUGUUGGAAGGCCACGUGUGUAUAUACAAAUUCUUCUAACACAUUUCCUUUUGUCUAUUUGAGAAGUUGUUUGGAUCUCAGAUGGACAAUCUCAAUAGAAGGGGUUUCACAUCACUUAUCUGUAUGUGAGACAAUGAAUCUCCUAACCAUCUUCUUUAAUGUUGUCAUGAAGGGAGAAGAGUACGGGAAUUGACUAAUAGUCUUUUGGGUAUCAUUUGGAUGAUGAGUAGUUCUAUUUGAGAUGAGUUUUUUGCUUGGAAUGGUAUUCGUAGUCAAAAGUCAAACUUUGCAUUUGUUCCUCAUGCCAUUAUCUAAACUAUUUGCAUGAGAGGAAUUGGAGAGUUUUUGAAGGGCUUUCUACUAAUUUGUUAGCCUUAUCGCUGAUUGGUUCCAGACCUUAAGUAUUUUGUUCAACGCCCAUAGCCUCCUUGGUGAUCUAAUAGAUGCCUUGCACUGUUCUUUGCUGCAUCUUUGUAUUUCUUAAGCUUUGGUCUAUACAUACAUGGGAGGCAAUCCCCUAGAGAGCCCCCUUUAAUGCGUUCUUCUUAUUCUUUCCUCUCAAAAAAAAGACAGAUCUACUUCCAAUGAAAGAUUAAGGCCUACAAAGCCAGAGAAAUUAGGUGAAUUUCUAGAUCUUAAAUGAUUUGUGACGAUUACCUUUUUCCACAUCAGUCAAUAACCAAGGAUUCUUAUGACUCUAAGCAUUGAUGAAAUAGUAGAUUACAACUGUCAUGUACUAACAUCAUGAAGUUUCUCAAAGCAAAAUGCAGUCUCUUUCUAUUACAACAUGACAAGAUUACACCUCGACGUUAUACAAUCCCAUUUUAAUUUGGCAAGCAUCACUUGGUGCCACCCUGACCUUGGACAAAUGUAAAUUUUUUGUUCUGGUCAUUUAUUAACUUUUCUUGGCAAUGGCAUUUACCCAUCUUUCAGUGCAUUUAUUUUUUUUUACAUAUAUAGCAGCUUCCGCUGCAUAUCCCAAAAACAAUCUUUUAACACUUAUUCAGGAUCUUACUAGUAUAUGACUGGAGAAUUAGUUUCUCAUGGUUAAAUUUCUUUUUACUUGUUCCCAGAACUCCAAAAACUUAACUAGACAUUAGCUUCUGAGAACCUCAUGAAUUCCUAGGAAACAGAAAAAAUAAACCAAGAAUAGGUGUUCAACAGCUGCCCAGUCAUUAUUGUGUUCCUUGAACUGGAACCUAGGCCCUUAACAAGAUCUCGAGGUAUAUAUCAUAUGCACAAUUUAUGAAGUGAACUAAGAACCUUCUUUGUAAAAACAGGAAAGUUCUUAUACUUGCAGACACUUCCUUUUCCUAAUAUUUCCAGAAUUCAUUUUGAAAAACCCAAACUUCCAUAAGAUCCAGGCAAAAACAAAAAUGAACACAUAGAAAGGAAAUGUACAACCCAAGGUGAUCAAAUGGAACCCACAAGUUGUAAAACCUAAGUACUUCUUUCCAAGUUGAUCAAAUUCCCAACUAUCUGCAGUUAUUUUCUUGCAAGGUGCUGUCAAGUUUACCCAGAACCCAAUUUUAAUUUCUCUUAUGUAAACAGAAAUCCCAAUAUGGUGGGUUUCAGUUUCUUUACCAUUGGUUUUUAAUCCAAAAUAUUCUUCCAGCGGUGCCUUAAGUUCAAACUUCAUAAAUCAAUAUAGCUUUCUAUUGCAUGAAAACCCUAGAACACAUAGACAAGACAAUAAACUAUCAACAAGCAAUCCCGAAUGCCUAAUCUCAAUAUACCCCACAUAAAGAAAAAACCACAUAAUUAUACAGUAAAUUAUGCAACAUAAACAUGAAUUUGCAUUCAAAACAAAACAGAGAACAAUCAAUAAUAACCUGAUCUCAGAAGAAAUAGAUGGCUUGGCAUUGAAAAAGAACCGCCUUCGGUAUAACUGUUUCUCAAAAACGAACACAAAGAAAGGAACUUUGAAGGUCUGUCAAAACCAAACAGUUGAGCAAUAUAGCAAUGACAAUAUACCAAAUCAAAUGCCCAAACCAGGCAUCCCUCUCUCUAUCUCCCUCUGAAUCUCUCAAUGGGUNNN